This 215-nucleotide long non-coding RNA is filed under the name Homo sapiens (human). RNAcentral describes it as "long non-coding RNA NONHSAT018467". The record is from RNAcentral. Lineage: Eukaryota; Metazoa; Chordata; Mammalia; Primates; Hominidae.
GCAGAGGCCAGAGUCCACUUGAAGUGUUCACACUCUCAGAGGCCAAGUUUAGAUCUUAUCUGCCUGAGAUUCCUUUUAACACUGAUUUGUCAUAGCAGGUAGCUGACAGCAUCUACUCCUGAAGACCGGAAACAUGGCUUGUACCAUCCAAAAGGCAGAAGCACUUGACGGGGCUCAUUUGAUGCAGAUCCUCUGGUAUGAUGAGGAAGAGUCUC